CCCUGGUUAGCUCAGAUGAAAGAGCGCUCCACUUGUAAUGGAGAGGCCCGGGUUCAAUACCCGGACCAGGCG
Ixodes scapularis (black-legged tick) is the source of this 72-nucleotide non-coding RNA. The record is from Rfam. Lineage: Eukaryota; Metazoa; Arthropoda; Arachnida; Ixodida; Ixodidae.